UUGACAAUUAGUCUGGCGCUUUGUCAGUUUAUGGCUUGUAAAUGAGAGUCAUUAUGGCGGAAUGCUCUCUAAUAUCCUCAUGCUGUCUGAACUCUGCAGGGUGACGAACCCGCGGUUGGACUUUAGAGCUCUUCUGUCGCUACGUGAGAUGCAUCUCUGAUCUGCCAUGCCAACAGAGCUGUCCCCCUCAUCUGAAACAGAGAUGAAAAACCUCCAUGUGUACAAACACAUCCACACUAUUUAACCAAAAAUUAAUUUGCAAACAGGCUGUCAAUGCUUGGUGUUAUACG
Molecule: long non-coding RNA, 290 nt
Filed under: Sinocyclocheilus anshuiensis
Lineage: Eukaryota; Metazoa; Chordata; Actinopteri; Cypriniformes; Cyprinidae
Description: lncRNA (ENSSANG00000046516.1)
Source: RNAcentral